GACACAUGUCAAUGUGACAAAGCUACAAGUUUUUCUAUAAAUAGGGGCCAUUCCCCCACAAUAUUGGCUAAUGCCAUUUGUGUUAAAUCAUUCACAAGAACUCACUAAAUUGAGAGCUUGAUCCUUUGUACUUGUGUAAGCCCUUCACUACUAAUAAGAACUCCUCUACUCCGUGGACGUAGCCAAUCUGGGUGAACCACGUACAUCCUGUGUUUGCUUCUCUGUCUCUAUUCAUUUACGUACUUAUCCUCACUAGUGACCGAAGCAACCAAGCGAAGGUCACAAAACCUGACACUUUCUGUUGUACCAAAGUCUUCGCUGAUUUUGUGCAUCAACAAAAUAUAUUGCUUCCAUGAAAAGGUAUCGUAGGAAGUAGCAGUAGCGGAAAAGUGGCGUCUAAGCAAAAGGCUUUUGUGGGAUUUUGUCCCUUCGUUCAUAUGAUAUCAUCUUGGUUUCAUCAGGAUUUGAGGUUGACUCGGAUAACUUACCUAUAACACCAUUGACCGUACAAUUCAUGUCCACGUGAAUAGUAAUCCUGCAUGUUACGCCACGUACGUCUGAUCAUCAGCUACUAGUUUUUAGUUUAGUAGUAUUUUUAGGGUUCGUAGACUUUUACGGGAAAAGAAUGUUACAUACUCUUAAACAAGUUAAAGUUUCAUCUAAAAAUCAAUUUCAUUAUAUGUUUGUUUGCAAAAUUGCUUAACAUUCUGAUACACGUUUUACGCUUUAUGUUUGGCGACCCUUAAGUCAAACAAGCGGUCAAUACUUAUCGGGCAUACAUGUGGUUAUUGAGCUUCACACAUAGACUAGUUUGCUCUACUCGCCUAACUCCUUAUAUGUCUAUACAAUCUCAGGGACCACUUCUAUUGAUUUCAAAUUUCAGGGACCAGAGUGAUGUGUUAAGCAAAUCUCGGGACUAUUUUGGCUAAAAAGCCUAACUUGAUUGAUUAAGAACAUUCACUUGUACAUUCUAAAUCUCGAAUUUAACCCUCCUCCGAAUACAAUUGUAUAGAAAAAAUUGUACAACAUCAGAACUUCAGAAUGUAGAAGUAAGCACACAUGGUCAAGUUGUUACCAAGGCAUCAAUUUCCUCACUCACAUUAAUAGUAUUGUAUUUGGUAAAAUAUUGACCUACAUAGUAAUCUGAAUUUCUUAAUUAAAAUCUCAUGAAAUUAAGAGUUUGGCAAUUGGUUAAUUGGGUGAAGAAUGUUGCGGAAUAUAAGGAGAAAAGAAUUGUUCAUGUCAACAGCCAACAGUUGUCUUUCUUGGCAUAUACAUGACUUGCAGUACAUAAGUGGACCAUGUGACAAUUUGUAUACUCAUUCUUCCAUUGAUUUUAGGGCAAGUCAAUAACAACUACACUUGACUUUUUAUAUAUCUUACUAUUAAGUUACCUUUGUUCUUUGUUUUAUUAGUUGACAUAUGAUUGAAACCAUAUGACAAAGAAAAUUAGUUUUUUAUAAUCUUUAGCAGAGAUUAAUGAUGAUGAUCAUGACGACGAUGGUGAUAAUAGUGAUGGUGGUAGAUAGAUACACGUUGAUCAGGCAAAAGAGGACUAUUUCAUUGACAAAAACCUUCAAGUGCUGUCAUCUCUACGAGUCCAUGUCCCGACGGAACUCUUCAAUCACGUCUUCAAUCACGUGAUGGUGUGAUAUGAUCAGGGGGAAAAAAAAUUUAGGUCAGCCUGUCUGAUCACGUGACAUGUUCGACCACUCAACAUCGACAAACAUGUCGACACGUUAUCGAUUAUCGAGAUGUUCAUAUUGUCUACAUCUUGAUUACAUAUGCUUUUCAGUAAAAAGACUAAAGUAACUGGUUAUGUGCCAGUAUCUCUCCCCUCUCCUUGGUGGUAUGAACAAACUGCCCUAGUUCAUGUGCAAAAUAUGGUAGCUCAAAACAGAAAAGUAUGUAUGUCAUGAAAUACGUUCAGCUUUCAUUCACUCCACCCUCAUAUGUUCAUGCAGAAUAUAUGCUUUCCAGCUUGCAUUCCACAAGUGUGAGGGUGACUGGAAGAAAAUGACUUAACCUUGCAUUUAUCCUUAUCUACCCAGAGCACUAUAAAAAAUUAGCAGAGGGGCCAUUCAAACAGCAAUGAAGCCUUAUCCCAUUAAGUAGGGUCGACUAUAUGAAUCAUAGAAUGCCAUUGCGCUUGGUUAUACGCCAAGUCUUCCGUUAGCUCUAAGUAUUCCGUAUCUUUAAGAAAAAAAAAGGCCAUUCAAAUAAAAAAUGAAUCAACAGGUUCUCUUUCUGUAAUUGUACAACCAAAGAUUUUACAAUCUAAGUGAAACAACUUUAGUUAUGCAGCAAAGAAAGAAGAAUCUGCUAAAAACGCAUAAAAAAUAAAUAAAAGAAAAACAAUUUCCUUGAGCUAUACACAUGAGAUAAUGAUUAUAACUAAAGGAAUGAAAUGCAAAACUUGUAUCAUGAACAAAGUUUGGGCAAAGAUCUUGUACGGUUGUGGCUUGGUGAUUUCGAUUUCGUAAACUUUGACAUUUGAGAUUGCAUUUUCUUGCAAAGUUUUUCCAAUUCCAUGACCCUGCACUGCAUGCCUUGCAGAUGUGCUCUGAGCUUGUCAUUGUCAUCUGAGAGAUCAAUUUUCCCGGCAUAAAGCACAAGUUGUACAUUGGCAUCAUCUUUCCUCAAUCCCCUACUUUCGGCCUCAGUAAUGGCGCUAUAAGGGGAGUCAGUGUAGGACUUGGGAUUGUUGGUUGCGUGGAGUAAGCUUUUGAGCUUGGAUUGCUGAUAGACAAGAGCUUGGACUGCGGAUUUUGAUGGAAAUUUUGUGUUCUGUGAAAGAUGUACGUAAGUCUCUGCUGAGAGCUUCUCAUAGUUCAACACACAACAUAUCUUCAUCUUUUCUUCUUCGGACAAUCCUGGGUGUACCUAUGUCAAAGCAGAUCAAAACCAACUUCAAAUGAAUAAUCUUCAAAACAUGCUCGGUGUAAUUAGAUUUUCGAAAUGUGCUAUUUGAAUUCUUGGAUCAUAAGUUAUUAAAACAAAAUUUACAAGAGCAUAAAUUAUUUUGAGACAAAUCUAAUACCUGUAGAUACAUGUCUAUGGCAUGGUAAAGCUCAUCAUAAGAGACUCUCGCAGAAUCCGGCAGCGCGAUGGCUAAAGCCAGAAACUUUGAAGGCUUCAAACGAGGAUCUGGGGUUACUUCUGCUAUAUACAAAUCAACCAAGGCAGCAACUUUCCUUAAUCGCAUUGGGGGCCUGUCAGCUUGACAGGUUCCUCCGUCAUGCAGAAAUGAUUUCAAGAACCGUAGAACAAGAUUGACAUCAUACAAAUAAUUGAUUCCUUGUGGGGAUGGAACAAGCAAAUUGUCCAAUGUUGCUUGAUCUAGCUGUGAACCGAUCAUAUUCUCCAACUUAUUCCUAACACUUUUGUUUAAGUUCAAAUUCAGCGAAACUCGAAGAAUCCCAAAUAAGCUCUUGCAAGAAACACAGCUCUGAUCAAGCAUAUACAGCAUCUCAAUGACCAUUUCAGCAAUGGUGCGCUUGGUAUCAGAUUUGACAGUGUAAAACUUCGAUUUCUGGUAGUAAAAGAGGAACCUACUAAUGAUAACAUGAUCGAGUUUUCGCGAAACCAUGGCCUUGACCAGCAUUUCAACCAAAUUUGGACCUAAAACUAGAAGAUCCUCGAACCACCAGGUUGCUCGAGACAAGGUAGUUUUCAAACUCUCGGUGCUUCUAGUGUCGCACGAAAACCGAAUUCCAGAGCUAUCCGGAGAUGAUGUUGAAGGACAAGGACUCGCUUCGCUUGUCAAAGGCAAUCUUGCAACAAGGGUAUCCAAGCAUUUCUCAACUAGACUCAAAGAAUUUGCAACCGGAAGCAAAUCCUGGCACUGCUUCAAGGCCGUCAAAAGCUCAGACCAUGACCAAUACCUGAUCUCUUCAAACGAAUUCUCCGCUUUUUGUAACAAAUUAUGUCUACCGGCGACAGAAUUGUUCAUUUCCAUGAACUGCGCGGCGCAGUAAAGGAGGGAAAUGUUGGAAGGAGUUAUGUAAAUGCUGCCAUUGUUGUAGCAGAACCUCGCAAUCAGCUCGAAACUCUCUGCUCCUCCGGGAAAAUCAUGGAAUACCACUUUAAGAUUUCUUGAGGAAGCUUUUGAUUUACCAAGUAGUUUGCUCAAUUUUCCACAGUAGGAGGCAAUAGCUCUCUGCAAAAAUGGUCAUGAAACCAGAAUUACCACUCAUUUGCUGAAAAAUUCACCAAAGUAAUAAAAAAUAGUUGAGAGCUAGUAAAUAAGCACAAAAAAUCCAAUUUACAGAAAAACCCACCAAAGGGAUGAACUCAUUGAAUAGAAAAAUGAAUUAAAUAAAAAAAACAAAGUGGGAAUCUACAUUCUACACCAGAAAGGCAGAAGGUGCCAAAGAAAUGAAAAGAGGUCGUUAUAUGUAAUAAAUUGUGGUGUGGCAAUUGAGAAAAGAUGUCUGCCAAUCAUCCAAGGUUCCCUGCAGUGGAGGGCAAAAAGUGGCAAUAAAUACGGCCAUGAAAGUAACACCCUCUCACUCUCAGAGUCCAUAUCAAAAGAAGUGAAGAUUUGAGACUCCCAAUUCCCAUAACAGCAGCAAUAAAUGGGAGAGAAUGAAGCAAAACGGAAAAGGCGUGCAAUUUGUUGAAUUAAAAAGACAGAACCAAAAGAACAAAAAGCUAAGGCAGCCAUGAGUUCAUGACCCACAUCAAUGCAUUAUAGGUGUGAAAAUUAAAUGGUUGGGGACAAAAGGAUGAAUCUUUGCAAUCCAUCAGCCAUGGUGGAUAAACUGGAAAGUAACCCGGAUAAAAUUUACCAGAGAAUGUACGAAAUUUACAAAGUUCAUCAGUAAAACUUCACAAUUCAAGCACAAAAUGUUAUGACAAAAUUACAUUUGAACAGAAGAAGAAGAUGGGUUUUUGCUAUUAAAAAAAGGGAAAAUCUUUGCAAUUCAUCAGUCAAGAUGGAUAAAAUGGAAAGUAACCCAGAUAAAAAUUACCAGAGCAUGUAUGAAAUUUACAAACUUUAUGCAUAAAACUUGACAAUUCAAGCACAAAAGUUUACUACAAAAUUACAUUUGGACAGAUGAAAAUGUAUGGAACUUUUCUGUAAAAAAAUAAGAGGGUUUGAAACUAUUUGCAAGCACAGAAUUAUUACCUUGUCCACCAUGAAAGACUCUUCCCCAUUGACAUCCACUUCAAGAUCACAAUGAACUUCCAUAACCCAAAUGAUUAAAAAAGCUUAAAAACAAAAACCCACUUCAGAUCAAGAGUUGUUUUUGGGGACUUGCAAUCAGAAGAGCAAAAUAAGUUAUUUUUUAAGGGUGCAGCAGAGACAGAGAGGCGAGGAGGACAAAUGGGGAGGAGGAAGGGGACACAAAACCAUAUUCUGAAAUGGGGAAGAACACAAAGGGAAAGAGGUUGAGGGCUUUGGUUACUGGAAAAAAGAAUUGGAUGCUAUUGGUUCAGGCAGAAGCAAUGUGGUGGCUCUCGACUGGGGUUUUAGAGAAGUGAUAAUUAGCCAAGAGUGUAAAGACAGAUUAUACAUACAUGUAUAUAUAUAUAGAGAGAGAGAGAGAGAGAGAGAGAGAGAGAGAGAGAGAGCAGCUGAAGUUUGUAUUAGUAGACCACUAGCCAUUUUGGACAUUCCCAGUCCCAGAGAAAAUGCAUCUGUAAGCUUAGGAAAUCUAUUAAUUAAUUGAUUAGGUGAAAGUAUAAAUUAUUAGUGCAUAAUUGUUAAUGUUGGAAGUGGGAUUGUUCUUUUUGGGGUGAAGACCAUUAAAGCUUGGAAGUGAAGCUUUGUUGCUGGCUUGCUUUUCCUCCCCUCCCUCCCUCCCUUCGGUUUUUGGGCCACGUUCAUCGCUGCAAGUCUCUCUGUAGGUGUGCAGUGCGGUGCACCCAUUACAUCUCUCCCCGAUCCACUACUUUAUUAAUUGGGUUGAAUUUCCCUCUCUAGCAUGGAUUUGUUACGAGGUAUGCUAUCCACACAUUCCAUUUUACUUCUCACACACCUCUUGAUAAUUUAUGUCCGUUGAUCUUCUUCAAUUCAUCCGAUCCGACGGCCGAAAAGUAAAAAGGUGUGUGAGAAGUAAAAUGGAAUGUGUGGAUAUCACAUUCCUUUAUUAUUUGUACAUUGGGACCAUUUCAGAUUCUCCUUUCUAAUUAUUUAUUUUGUUUUGGUGGGAUUAUAUUUGGACGUUUGUUAUUGGGGGUGGGUUUGGAGGACCCCAUUUCUGUAUAGUUGGAGAGAUUUUUUAAUGUAUCAGGAAUAUUGAGUGGUACGUUAUAUGUUAUUAUACAAGUGGUUUGAAGUUUUGUUUUCAAGUGUCCAUCCAUUUGUAUUAUGAUAUGUGGCAUAUGUGUCAUUGAUCCAGACACAGUGAAAAAUCUCUCGUAUAGUUGGUCCUGUCAAAAGAUCCUACUUGAAUAAAACAGAGUAGGUUUUUCUCUCCUCCCCUCAUCUCUCACUUUCCUUUUAUUCUUUCUUUCUCUAUAACUGUGUUAACACAAGAUGGUGAUGUGAUUUAAUCGUAACCGUUUAAAUAUGAAGAGACGGGAGGAGAGGAGAAUUUGAUACGGAGAGAAUAUUACUCGUAUGUCUAUGCUCAAACUCGACUCAAAUGAAUUUUCAAGCUCGGCCCGGUUCGUUUAUGAACAAAGCUUGAGCUUUUGGGGUGGCUUCGCUAAGCACAACUGUGAAAAGAACUCAAGUUUUAGUUUUGAGUCGCCUUAAACUUUUUAGAUUUUAACUACAUUAAUAUAAUUUUGACGGUUUUUAUUACAAAUAAUCCUUUAUAUUUUGAGAACCAAUCGUUUUCGUCAUUUUUGUUUCGAUUCAAUCAAUUUGUUCUAGCAUGUUUGCUCCACAUGUCAAUUUGGUUCUUCCCGUCCAAACCACCCCGUCCCCCCUGCAGAUUUCCCCGACUGUCCACCCCCACCCCCCGACAUACCGAUAUCUUCCUACUGAAACUGUGCAAGGCACAAAUAUAUGAAGUCUUCUAUCCACCAUCUCUCUCUCUCUCUCUCUCUCUCUCUCUCUCUCUCUCUCUCUCUCUCUCUCUCUCUCUCUGUAUGUCAUGUUACGCCUCAAAUCCAAAAUUAGCAUGAGUUGCUGCAUCAAUGAGUUGGGUGAGUUCCUCCACAACCCAAACUGCAAGACCACCUUAUUGGUCUCCAUAUAUUAUAACCCAUGAGCGAAUGACUUGGUAUUUUUGCAUUUUGUAUUUUUAUGUUUAUUAAUUAAUUUAAGUAUUUGAAUCUAUUGAGACACCAUCUCAUUGUUUCGGAUUUUUGAGAAUGAGGAGCAUUAAUCUGUUGAAUGGGCGAGACUUUGGAAGGAGGGAAGAAUAGAUAGUGUUCCUCUAAUUGUAUCAUGACAUGUUGUGUUUUAUAUAGUGUUCUGAACACACUGAAUAAUCUCUCGAGAGGGAGUGGGAGGGCAUGAGGGUGGAGGGCCUACGAAGGUGGUUUUAUAUUAUUUAUUAUUAUAAAAGUUUAGAGCGUAGUUUUUGAACAGCCGAAUUUUGUUUGAUCCACAUGGCAAUAAAUAAGUAGAGUUGUAAGUCCCCACAUUAGCACUCUAAAAGGUUCUCAAUGAAUUUAGAUAGCAAUGACCAAAUCGAUGUGUGAGAGCAAACAUGACAGACUAAAUUGAUUGAACUAGAUUCCCAAAAUGUAAAAGAACAUUUGGAAUAAAAACCUUAAUUUUAUGACAUCUUUUAUUUUAAAUAUAAAGAUCCAAAUGUUUAACCUUUAUCAGUAAAACUUUAAGGAACAAUCUGAAGUUGAACCAAACUCGAGUUGAGUCAUAAAACGAUAUGAGUUGCUCAUUAGCUUUAUGAGUCAAAUGCAAUAAGGUGCACAUUCGGGAGAUGCUACAAUGUUAUAAUCAUACAAUCUUGAAAGUCAGAUAAUGAUUAUAUUGAAUAUAUAAUUCACAUAGAUUAUAUUUGACCGUUACAGUAAUUAUUUUUAAAUACAUAUAAAUAUUGAAGCCAAAUACAUAAUAUUCUUCAAUCACAUAAAAGUUUUAUAUUCCAAAAUCUCUACCUCUUUUUUGCUGUAAUCUUUCACCAACAUGUAGGAUUCAUAAGGCCCAAAACUUAAUCGUAGGAUUUAACAUUGAGGCCAAACAUUUAUAGGCAUCAGAGAUUAAUAUAUCUGCAACCCAUCCCUCGUCAAUAAUCCGACCUUAGCUCAGUUGGUAGAGCGGAGGACUGUAGUGGGUGACAUGCUCUCAGCCAUCCUUAGGUCGCUGGUUCGAAUCCGGCAGGUCGGAUUUCUUUUUACAAUUUAUUUAUUUAUUAAUUUUUUCUAUUAAAAAGUACAAACAUAUGCAGCUAAGAUUAUACAACCCACGAUCCAGAGAAUCAAAUCCUUUUUUAGGUUAAUGACAAUGAGAAAAUCAAAUGCCAAAUAAUUGCCCAUAUUUUGGUUUGAACAAUACCUAGUUGAGACACAAAAUGGUUUCUAACCAUAACAAAUCAUGGAGAAAUGCUAGCAAACUUUACGUUUGUUUGUACCAUACUUGACCGAUCCUGAAACUACUGAUAGGAGCAUAUUUAUGCAACUUAGUUAAAUUGUUUUCUUGCAUUUUCAUAGUUUAUUUGUGUUUGUUAUAGUGUUUAAGCUAUUUUAGUGUGUUUGUAGGUCCAAAUGACAAAGUUGGCAAGAAAGUGCAAUUUGGAGCAUUUUGGAGCAGUUUUGGGCAUCAAUUGAAUAGCUUAUGAGUGGAGCAAGAUAAAUGGACGAAUUGGAAGUUCAAGAGGCUAGGAAUGUGUUGAAAAGAUGAAGAAAAUAAAUCCAAGACAAAGAAGAUAAGGAAUCAGCUCAAAAGAUGAAAUAUUAUCCAAAGCCUUAUCCAACCUUAUCUUAUCUUAUCCUUGCCUAAUCUAGCCUAAUCUUAUCUUAGCUUAUCCAAAUCAGUUUGUGCCUUAAUUCCAGCUAUUUCUAAGGGAUAAUUAUGCAUUCAAAAUAUAUAUUUCAGAUUCUAGAACCCUUAUCCCUUAGGUGCUGCAUAUAUGCCCUUACCUUGGUGAACUAGGAAUUAUAAUCCUUCUCUAAAAACCAUGUCGUGUAUACUUGUCCAUUUAGGUUCAGAAAUAGGUGUUGGAACAUCCUUUCUAGAAGCUUAAUAUCUGCUGCACCUUUCUAACCUAAUUCUACUUGGGUUUUGAUUGUUUUAACCCAUUCCACUUGGGUUUUGGUUACACAAUCCUUGUUCCAAUUUGAUUUCAGAAACCUAUCCUAAUCCUUAAGGAUUGUGCCGUGGGUUUGCCCUGUAAAUACAAGUUUGUGCUGCACCAUUCAGUUCACCACCCUCUACCACAAUUCACUACACCAUUCACCAUAAAUCCCUCAUUGUGCUGCAACUAAGGAAAGAGAAGAAGGAAGAAACUUGGAGCCGUGCUUGCCAUUCAAGAAGAUUGGAUUGCUGGAGCGUUCUUAGAUUUCAAUGUUUAAUUUAAAUUAUCUUUGUUUAAUUGCGAACAUGAGGAACUAAUUUCUUUAUACUUGGAGGUGAAUUCGAAGCCAUGAUUAUAUGUUUAUAUGAAUUGAUUUCCUCCAGUUAUUGUUUCAUGAAUCGUGAAUGUGGUUUACUUAUCUGUUAUAUUAAGAACUUGUUCUUGUAUGUUGAUUAAGGUGGCCAACUUAGUUUGCAUGCAUGAAUUUGAUGCUAGAGUAUAAGGGAAUUUCACCUAAUCGUUAUGAACUUAUAUUCAUGAGUAGUAAAAGUCGCUAGUCACAAUUGUGUUAAGUAAAUCAUAGGCAAGAGUAACUUGCUUUUCAUAGUUAUGAAUGCCUCGUCAAUACUUAUGGUUUCCAUUGAACUUAAUGAUCUUUGAUAUGUGUCUCUAUCAUGCGUAUUUCAUAGUUAGGGAACUUGAUAAAGAAUAAUUUGGUUGUGAUGCGUUAUCCAUUCAAUUCAAUGAAUCUAGGGAAAUCUGAGAAUUAAUUAGUUCAAUACAAUUAAUUCGGGGCAUUGUCAUUCAUGGUUUGUCGAAAGAAAAACUAGAAAUCAAUUCGUAUGCAUAUGUUUCAUGUGUGGAAAAGGAACCCUCUAACUAGCCUUUCACCCAUUCUAUUUCAUUCAAUUUCGAGUUUUUAAAGUUUGUUCUAUAAGUUUCUGUUUCUAAGUUUUAAACCCUUUUUCUUAAGUCUUGUGUUUAGAGUCAAAACCUGUUUUCUUUUAGUCUUUUGAGUCAAGUUAAGUUUUAUUUUCGUCCAAAUCACUUGUUAGGUCUAGAAUUGAGUCUUUUUUAUUGUUUGUUGCUGUUUUGAGUAUUUUAAGUUAGUUUUGAGUCUAUAGAGUCUAGUUUAGUGUUUUUGAGUCUUAUUUGCAUUGAUUAGUGGCCCUAGUUAAUCCCUAGUCUAGAACGAUCCAUACUUACAUCUUUACUACAAUUGUCAUCAUUAGGGUUUAAUUUGAGUGUCAAGUUAAUUUUCACAUCAAAUUCAUGCACGCAAACUAAGUUGGCCACCUUAAUCAACAUACAAGAACAAGUUCUUAAUAAAACAGAUAAGUAAACCACAUUCACGAUUCAUGAAACAAUAACUGGAGGAAAUCAAUUCAUAUAAAACAUAUAAUCAUGGCUUCGAAUUCACCUCCAACUAUAAAGAAAUUAGUUCCUCAUGUUAGCAAUUAAACAAAGAUAAUUUAAAUUAAACAUUGAAAUCAAAGAUAGAAUACACCUAAGAACGCUCCAGCAAUCCAAUCUUCUUUAAUGGCAAGCACGGCUCCAAGUUUCUUCAUUCUUCUCCUUCCUUAGCUGCAGCACAAUAAGGGAUUUAUGAUGAAUUGUGGUAGAGGGUGGUGAACUGAAUGGUGCGGCACAAACUUGUAUUUAUAGGGCAAAUCCACGGCACAAUCCCUAAGGAUUAGGAUAGGUUUCUGAAAUCAAAUUGGAAUAAGGAUUGUGUAACCAAAACCCAAGUGGAAUGGGUUAAAACAAUCAAAACCCAAAUAGAAUUAGGUUAGAAAGGUGCAUCAGAUAUUAAGCUUCCAGAAAGGAUGUUCCAACACCUAUUUCUGAACCUAAAUGGACAGGUAUACACAACAUGGUUUUUAGAGAAGGAUUACAAUUCCUAGUUCACCAAGGUAAGGGCAUAUAUGCGGCACCUAAGGGAUAAGGAUUCUAGAAUCUGAAAUAUAUAUUUUGAAUGCAUAAUUAUCCCUUAGAAAUAGCUGGAAUUAAGGCAUAAACUAAUUUGGAUAAGAUAAGAUAAGAUUAGGCUAGAUUAGGCAAGGAUAAGAUAAGAUAAGAUAAGGUUGGAUAAGGUUUUGGAUAAUGUUUCCUCUUUUGAGCUGAUUCCUUAUCUUCUUUGUCUUGGAUUUAUUUCUUCAUCUUUUCAGCACAUUCCUAGCCUCUUGAACUUCCAAUUCGUCCAUCCAUCUUGCUCCACUCAUAAGCUAUUCAAUUGAUGCCCAAAACUGCUCCAAAUUGCUCCAAAUUGCACUUUCUUGCCAACUUUGUCAUUUGGACCUACAAACACACGAAAAUAGCUUAGACACUAUAACAAACACAAAUAAACUAUGAAAAUGCAAGAAAACAAGCUAACUAAGUCGCAUAAAUAUGCUCCUAUCAAAUUCCCCCACACUUAGUUUUUGCUAGUCCUCGAGCAAAACGAAACAAACAAAAUAAAACAAAGUAAACAAAACACACUCUAAUCCUUCCAACAUUUGCCUCAGGGAUUUCCAACGCACAUGACAUGUUAAAAAUCAUCAUUCCCAUAGAUUUUAGUCAUCUUCACCCUUGAGCAUAUACUUAAUCAUAGUCACCACUUACUAGUUCACAUUUAACCAAUUAAAACGAUGUUUUGAAUGUAGUAACAUGCCUUAGAGAAUUUGCUCAAUUCCUUAUAAGAUACUCUCUAUUUUCACACACAUUUUCUAACUACACACCCUACACUAGUUAUAUGUGAGAAGAUUGAUAUAAACAUGUAGACAAACACUCACAUAUAUGUAUAACAAAGAAAGCAUUUUCUGGAGUUAUUAAGCAUGCUUAGAUAUGAUCUCAUGAAUGGAAUGCUACUACUUAGACACGAAAACCAGUGACACCAUAUGCUCUCACCAAUUUCAAACUCCACAAAUUGAAACACACAACACUUAAGAUUGAAGUCAAGGGUUGUAACGGGGCUUAAUGGUAUUGGUUAACAAAGAAAUGUAAGGAUAACAAAAGUUCUUAAAGCAAUAGUGAGCAAAGUGAUGAAAUCGACACUUAGAAUUCACUUUAGAAUGCAGAAAUCAACUUUUAAACACAAAGGAAGAUUCAUGCAACACUUAGGGUCAAAUUCAAACUUUUGGAUCCUUUCUUCAACAACCAACACAUGUGAGUUUAUUCUCACUUAUUUCACAACUUUUUUUUUCUUUUUCUACCCGUACCCUAUUUCUUUGGCACACAAAAACACACUUUUGAAACCCUUCCCCCACACUUGUUUUCUACAAUAAUGUUGAUCAAAAGGAAUUCCCUCUAAGUCAUGCUUCACUAUCCUUUAAGAACAAGGGUGUGGGUAGUCCUAAUCUAGGCUAGGUAAGGAUAAUGUGGCUAACAACGAAAAUAGGCUAAUUAAGGCUCAAAAGGGGUUAAACCUACAAAACAAAUGCAUGGGAUGAAGGCUUUCUGGCUCUUGUGGUACUACUAAACAACUUCAUCUUGUUAUAUGUUAUGCACUCAAUUUUAAGCUUUGAAUGAAACGGGCAUGAGUUCUAGUAUUUGGAACUAAGGUGAUAAAACGCAUUCUAAAUAGCAACCAAGCAAAGAAUAAUGAGAUCAUGCAACGACUUUAGAAAACAAGGAAUCACAGAUUAAUAACUCUCCAAAUAAAGUUUAGGCUCAAGUCUCUUAGGGUUGUAGUGUUAGUUUGAGUUCCUUCCUUCAAACAUGUUACAAAAACUGAUUUUUUUUUUCUUUGUGAUUACAUGUGAAUUUGUAAACGACAACUACAACCAAGCAUUAACCAAAGAGCAUAUCAAACUUCCAUCCAUGUUAGUAACUUUCUUUAAUAGUCAUGCAAUUAAAAAUCAAAUCCUCAUCAUUGUAUUAGAAGGUACCCUAAGACACAAACACACAAAAACAACUCAAAAAUGACUCUUUUUGGGUUUUUUCAAAACGUUUUCUACUUCUUUUUUUUUUCAAAAUUUCGUAUUUUCUAUCAAAGACACACUAAAACACUCAAAAACACUCUAAAAACACUUAAAAACAAUGAAAAACAACUCUUGUUAUGCUAGGUGGUAAAAUCUCACGAAUUUGCAAUAAAAACACAUUGUUUACCACGAUCCCUACUUACAUCUUUACUAUAAUUGUCAUCAUUAGGGUUUCAUUUGGGUGUCAAGUUAAUUUUCGCAUCAAUUACUGAGUACCAGUCAACAUUAUACUGUCAAAGAUCAACAAAAGUUUCCUUCCAACCAAGAGGUCAAUCAUAAUGCGACACGUGUCAACACCAAGAGGCCAAGCACAAAGCGACACAUGUCAACAUCAAAGGCCAAUCACAGCAUGACACGUGUCAAGGCCAGAACAAAGCUAGAAACUCUCUUCUAUAAAAGGAGAUCAUUCUCCCACAAUAAUCCCUAAUGUCAUUUGUACUAAAUCAUUCACUAGUACUCACUAAAGGAGAGCUUGAACCUAUGUACUUGUGUAAACCCUUCACAAUUAAUGAGAACUCCUCUACUCCAUGGACGUAGCCAAUCUAGGUGAAC
RNAcentral lists this long non-coding RNA (13669 nucleotides) under Malus domestica (apple). RNAcentral describes it as "long non-coding RNA (MDOM_LNC007995)". The stretch from base 8159 to 8251 matches the Rfam family "tRNA". Lineage: Eukaryota; Viridiplantae; Streptophyta; Magnoliopsida; Rosales; Rosaceae. The record is from RNAcentral.